AGAGUUUGAUCCUGGCUCAGGACGAACGCUGGCGGCGUGCCUAAUACAUGCAAGUCGAGCGAACUUGCGGGAGCCUGCUCCCAAAAGUUAGCGGCGGACGGGUGAGUAACACGUGGGCAACCUGCCUAUAAGACUGGGAUAACUUCGGGAAACCGGAGCUAAUACCGGAUGAUUCUUUUCUACACAUGUAGGAAAGCUGAAAGACGGUUUACGCUGUCACUUAUAGAUGGGCCCGCGGCGCAUUAGCUAGUUGGUGAGGUAACGGCUCACCAAGGCCACGAUGCGUAGCCGACCUGAGAGGGUGAUCGGCCACACUGGGACUGAGACACGGCCCAGACUCCUACGGGAGGCAGCAGUAGGGAAUCUUCCGCAAUGGACGAAAGUCUGACGGAGCAACGC
Molecule: ribosomal RNA, 399 nt
Filed under: uncultured bacterium
Lineage: Bacteria
Description: bacterial SSU rRNA
Rfam family: Bacterial small subunit ribosomal RNA
Source: RNAcentral